UACGAAGGGGGGCUAGCGUUGCUCGGAAUCACUGGGCGUAAAGCGCACGUAGGCGGCUUUUUAAGUCAGGGGUGAAAUCCUGGAGCUCAACUCCAGAACUGCCUUUGAUACUGAGAAGCUUGAGUCCGGGAGAGGUGAGUGGAACUGCGAGUGUAGAGGUGAAAUUCGUAGAUAUUCGCAAGAACACCAGUGGCGAAGGCGGCUCACUGGCCCGGUACUGACGCUGAGAUGCGAAAGCGUGGGGAGCAAACAGG
RNAcentral lists this ribosomal RNA (254 nucleotides) under uncultured bacterium. Its description in RNAcentral is "partial 16S ribosomal RNA". It matches the Rfam family "Bacterial small subunit ribosomal RNA", at positions 524 to 776 of the family's 1533-position model. The record is from RNAcentral.